GCAACCUUAUUCAAGCCACUGGAACCUUCAGAUCGAGCCCAAGAGCAGGAUGACACAACAUGUGGACAAGAGCUGUAUUAACUUGAUCACUAGUAUUAACUAGUAUUAAGUAGUAUUAACGUGGUCACCAGUGAAAGGCACUUGCAACAACUGUUCAGUCUGAAAUAUAGGUAGAGAGUGGGGAUGGCAAAGUUGCUUGUAACUUCUGGUACAUGUUUAAUGCACACAGGCAUGGAGGCACAGCUCUAAGGCACUGCACUGUUACUGUAAAGCAUACUUUAAAAAUAUUUAUUGUCUUAAAGAGCAUUUUCUAAUCUUCCCUCUCUCGGUGGAGCGGUGAACAAGAUGCCAUGUCAUGAAGGUUUAAGAUGAUUUUAUUUUUUAUUGCAGAAACAUUUAGAGACCUAAGAAUUUAAACUUAUAAAAGGGAUCUUCUAAGUUGCCUGUUAAUGUGGAAUUUACACUUAAAUCUGAUGAUUGGAUGAUGUUUUACGUUAGGGAAAUACCUUGUUAUCAAACUUCAUAAAGCAGAUGUAAUUAAAGGUUCAAUGUGAGCCAAUCUAGAAGGUUGCAUAGUGUGUGCAAAGAAAGGAGAGACAUCUUAGACCAAUUUUUAUACAGUUUUCAUUUUGCUGAGCUAGAAAGGAGAUAAAGAUUAUUUAUUUUUGUUCGUAUCUUGUACUUUUCUAUUAAAAUCAUUUUAUGGAAUCC
Molecule: long non-coding RNA, 711 nt
Filed under: Rattus norvegicus (Norway rat)
Lineage: Eukaryota; Metazoa; Chordata; Mammalia; Rodentia; Muridae
Description: long non-coding RNA NONRATT011260
Source: RNAcentral